RNAcentral lists this ribosomal RNA (405 nucleotides) under uncultured Leptotrichia sp. Its description in RNAcentral is "bacterial SSU rRNA". It matches the Rfam family "Bacterial small subunit ribosomal RNA", at positions 355 to 774 of the family's 1533-position model. Lineage: Bacteria; Fusobacteriati; Fusobacteriota; Fusobacteriia; Fusobacteriales; Leptotrichiaceae. The record is from RNAcentral.
UGGGGAAUAUUGGACAAUGGGGGCAACCCUGAUCCAGCAAUUCUGUGUGCACGAAGAAGGUUUUCGGAUCGUAAAGUGCUUUCAGCAGGGAGGAAGGAAGUGACUGUACCUGCAGAAGAAGCGACGGCUAAAUACGUGCCAGCAGCCGCGGUAAUACGUAUGUCGCGAGCGUUAUCCGGAAUUAUUGGGCAUAAAGGGCAUCUAGGCGGCCGGGUAAGUCUGGGGUGAAAACUGCUGGCUCAACCAGCAGCCUGCCUUGGAAACUACCCGGCUUGAGUGCUGGAGAGGUGGACGGAACUGCACGAGUAGAGGUGAAAUUCGUAGAUAUGUGCAGGAAUGCCGAUGAUGAAGAUAGUUCACUGGACGGCAACUGACGCUGAAGUGCGAAAGCUAGGGGAGCGAACA